AACGCAUAUGGCACCCGAGACUUCGGUCGAGGGUAUGUCUGUCUCAGAGUCGACGUUAAAACAUCCCCAGAGGAGGCGACUCCCGCGGGGGAGCUGGCCGUCCCGGGCGCCCCGCGCGGCGCGGCCCGGGUCGGCCGAAGGUGAGAGACGGGGGACCGCUUGCCGCGGGCAGCCACGAUUUUGGUGGGAGGACCUAGCGUCCGCAUCACGGAUCGUGCGCCCCUCAGCAGGCAGGCGGCCGCGGAGGACCCCGCCAAGGCAGGAGACGUUACAACUCUUUUUUUUCGACCUGAGAUCAGGCAAGAUCACCCGCUGAACUUAA
RNAcentral lists this unclassified non-coding RNA (322 nucleotides) under uncultured fungus. RNAcentral describes it as "partial contains 5.8S ribosomal RNA, internal transcribed spacer 2, and large subunit ribosomal RNA". The record is from RNAcentral. Lineage: Eukaryota; Fungi.